GUGCCAGCAGCCGCGGUAAUACCGGCAGCUCAAGUGAUGUCCCAUCUUAUUGGGCCUAAAGCGUCCGUAGCUGGCCGCCCAAGUCCCUCGGGAAAUCCACCCGCCCAACGGGUGGGCGUCCGGCAGAAACUGGACGGCUUGGGACCGGAAGGCUCAGAGAGUACGUCCGGGGUAGGAGUGAAAUCCCGUAAUCCCGGACGGACUACCGAUGGCGAAAGCACUUCGAGAAGACGGAUCCGACAGUGAGGGACGAAAGCCAGGGUCUCGAACCGGAUUAGAUACCCUAGUAGUCC
This 293-nucleotide ribosomal RNA is filed under the name uncultured bacterium. RNAcentral's name for it is "partial 16S ribosomal RNA". It matches the Rfam family "Archaeal small subunit ribosomal RNA", at positions 455 to 747 of the family's 1478-position model. The record is from RNAcentral.